This is a long non-coding RNA of Hemicordylus capensis (graceful crag lizard), 3093 nucleotides long. RefSeq lists it as uncharacterized. NCBI's taxonomy places the organism in Eukaryota, Metazoa, Chordata, Lepidosauria, Squamata, Cordylidae. The record is from RefSeq and is a predicted model, not a curated record. The transcript has 4 exons.
UAGGACUGGGCCACGGGGACCUGGCUCGGUCCUCCGCUGCCUGGGGGGGGGCCUCCAAACGCUUUCCCCUCCAUGAUGGCGCCAGUGGGCAGGGGCUGGCUCGGCUUGGCAGAGAUCCUGGCUCCUGGCAGCUUCCUGGCUGCGCAUAUACCCCAGCCCCUCUCUCUGCCUUCCUGUCUCAUGCUGCACGCUCUACGAGGAGGGAGGGAGUAGCAGCAGCUGCAAUGCCAGUGAGACAAGGAGUGGAGGAGCGAGCGACCAUGUAGAGAGCUUGGGAAGAAGGGGCCCUCAGGGACAGGCAGGGAGUUUCUAAUUAAGGGAAGCAUAAAACAAAACAAAAUCUCCCACCUGCCAUCUAAAGUGCUACAUUCCAUUCUACGACCUCACCACCACACCAGGCCUGAGUUUGGUCUGGGCCUGUACUAGCUGUAAGCCUUACGAAUGCUGCCUUGUGUUCCAUUGAGGAAAGGUGGGGUAUUCAUUUUAAAAUGGCGCCCCCCUUCAAGUGGCGCCCGGGGCACAUGCCCUUCCUGCCCCACCCUAGAUACGCCCCUGCCUAUGAGGAAAAGUUGAAGAAGCUGGGCAUGUUUAGCCUGAAGAAGAGAAGACUAGCAGGUUACAGUUCAUUUGCUCCUGUUACUGACUUUUGUGCCAUUAAAAGAGCUGUGAAUCUUGGGAGGGAAAAGUUCCUGCAGCUAAAAGAAGACAAGGGUGGAGGGAAGAGGCUGGAAGCCACAGUGACAGGUACAUCGAAGGCUGUAUCCUUUAGUUCCCUGGAAACCAGUCAAACACUAUCUCAUCUUGCAGUGGUUGUGUCUGAUUCUCUGCUUCAGACAUCCUCCUAAUAAUGGUAGCUACAGAGGUGACUCUCUGCAAAUAAGGGCUAGCAGCCACUGGACAUCCAUCAUGUAUCUCCAGAGCAACAUUAGACCACCCUAAUGGGUACUCCCGUCUUCAUUAUGAUAUUAAUUCUCUAAAUUUCCAAAGUGAUUUCAUUUGUAAAAUGACAAUGGCUGGCUGCUCAGGAGACAAACUGUUUUCAUCACACUCCCGCCUGCUUACAAAGGUUCCCUCUCUUUAGUCUUCCGGGCGUGGGGUUGCGGGGGUGGGGGAGAAAUGUGAUAGCAUCAGAUCUCUUGUGAUACACAAGGCUGCCUAACAGCUACGCCACCUGCCAACACGGCAUGCCUAGCUGUAGAGACUGAAGAUGUUUAAAAGUAAUGGCUGGUGAGUGGAACAUCACAUUUUAAAUGGAAAAGAGGGGGAAAUGAGGAAGGAAGGAAGGAAGAAAACAGAAGCUGUAUAUUCAGCACAGAGGUGAAGGAGGAUGAUCAAGUGAGGACUUUUUAAAAAACCAGACCUGGAUACUGUAUUAAUAAACCUGGUUUGCUUGGGCUAGGCAAAAGCACAAUUGUCUCAUCCUGAGUGCAUCAAAGUCUUUGCAGUCCUUACAAAAUUUAGCAAGAACCAAGCAAAGCACAGGUAUGGGCACAAUGAAAGAUUUGCCCAUACUCCCAAAUUUCCUGAGAUCUGCAGAGAAUCAAGCAUAGUAUUAAGAGAGCUUUUGAACUACAUGAGACUUCUGUAUAAAUAACUGCAUAGGAUUUUAAAGCAUCAUUGUGAUAUCCAUCUAGGGCUUGUGAUGUCUGUAUGCUAAUGCACAGAGUAUGGAAACAAACAAGACAACAUAGUACAGGAAAGUAAAUACUUCCUAGGUAUAACUGAGACUCGCAGUAUUGAAUGUAGCAACUGAAGGAUAUAACUUGUUCAGAAACAAUAGGUAUAACAGAAUGGGUGGGGAACUAGCAUAUGUAAAAAAAAUGUGUGCAAUUGCAAAGAAAUCCAAGAGAGUGAACUUGGUAGCCCAGGUACCCAGAGCAUCUGGGUAAAAAAAAAAAAGAAAUCAAUUAAUUAAUUAAUUAAUUAAUUAAUUAAUUAUAGCACUGUCUUUAGUCUCCUAUUCUAGGGGACUAAAACAUUUGCUGAUGCACUCUCAGAAUCGCCAUCUAUCAGUUUUGAGAAAUCCUGGAGAACAGGUGAGUUGCCACAAGACUGGAGGUGAGUUUAUGUUGACUCAGUCUUUUAAAAAGGAUCCAGGAAACCAGCUGCAGGGGAGCAACAGCAGGAGAUAGGGCAUGCCCUCAGCUUUUGCCUGUGGCCUCCCCAGAGGGAUCUGGUGAGCUACUUGGAGAAACAGGAUGCUGGACUAGAUAGGCUGUGGGCCUGAUCCAACAGGGCUGUUCUUAUGUUAUGAUGUUCUUAUGAAACUACAGAGUGUGUCUGACUUGGUACCAGGGAAGAUUAUAAGGCAUUCUGUAAUAAUUUUGACAACAAUGCAGUUAUUAGUAGAUGCCAGCAUGGAUUUCUCAAGGAAAAAUCUUGCCGACUAAUCUUAUUUAUUCUCUCUCUCUCUCUCUCUCUCUCUCUCUCUCUCUCUCUCUGUUACAGGUUUAGUGGAUUUUUGGAAUGCCGUGAACAAAAUUUAUUUUGAUUUCAGCAAAGCAUUUGAAGUUAUGCAUGAUAUUCUAUUUUAUAAACUAGUAAAAUACCAUCAGGUGGUUUCACAACUGGUUGGAAAACCAUAUUCAAAUGGUGCUCAUUUGUGGCUUCUUAUCAUACUGGAGGGAGGUUUUGAAUGGGAUGCCACACAACUUUGUCCUGGGCCAUGUAGCCUUCAAUAUGCUUAUUGAAUCCAUCCAAUUUGCAGAUGACCAUGGGCGUAGUGUCCACUGGACAAGGGGGACAAAUGUCCCCCAGCCUGGAGGGUCAAAGGGCCCACAAGGGGCUCACAAGGCUGCCACCAAGUGCUGCUGGGGUACAUGGUGAUUUCCCCCACGCUUUCUCCUGCUCUUCCUCCUCCCAGUACCUCGCCAGUGCUCUGCCCCCUUGCCUGGGUGCCAUGCAAGAGCCGCCAGAAGAGGGGCUGCCUAGCCCCGAUCUGCUGCCCCUGGACAGAGGCCAGCAUGCCCCAUGUCCCUGUGCCUGGCCCCAAUAUGUGCUGUGGAGCUGCUGCUGCUGCUUCUUCUUCUGCUGCUGCUGCUGCCACCCUCCAAAAAGACUCACAGAACAGUCAGUUCAAGAAUGGAAGAUUUG